This 247-nucleotide ribosomal RNA is filed under the name uncultured Actinomycetales bacterium. RNAcentral's name for it is "partial 16S ribosomal RNA". It matches the Rfam family "Bacterial small subunit ribosomal RNA", at positions 84 to 334 of the family's 1533-position model. The record is from RNAcentral. Lineage: Bacteria; Bacillati; Actinomycetota; Actinomycetes; Actinomycetales.
CGGGUACUCGAGUGGCGAACGGGUGAGUAACACGUGGGUGAUCUGCCCUGCACUUCGGGAUAAGCUUGGGAAACUGGGUCUAAUACCGGAUAGGAGCCAUCUUUAGUGUGGUGGUUGGAAAGUUUUUUCGGUGUAGGAUGAGCUCGCGGCCUAUCAGCUUGUUGGUGGGGUAAUGGCCUACCAAGGCGGCGACGGGUAGCCGGCCUGAGAGGGUGUACGGCCACAUUGGGACUGAGAUACGGCCCAG